AAAAAUUCUGUGACUCCUCACCAGGACUACUCUGGUCAGAGUUUUACUGAAUUAAAAUAUAGUGAUGCAUCUUCUCCAAUUUUACUUUGAGCGAUCAUUUCAUCUUGACUCGCACUUAAACUCACAAGAACUUGACUGUACCCAAAAAUCUUUUAUUACUAAAUUAAAAAUUCAGGUAGUCCGACAUCAAAGUACGAUGGUUGUUUGCAAGUCACCAAGAUAGUCUUAGAUCAGAGAGACACUUAUAUCCAUAUCC
This 256-nucleotide long non-coding RNA is filed under the name Elaeis guineensis (African oil palm). RNAcentral's name for it is "long non-coding RNA (EGUI_LNC061067)". The record is from RNAcentral. Lineage: Eukaryota; Viridiplantae; Streptophyta; Magnoliopsida; Arecales; Arecaceae.